This 34-nucleotide ribosomal RNA is filed under the name Ceratobasidium sp. DH-C1. RNAcentral describes it as "partial 28S ribosomal RNA". The record is from RNAcentral. Lineage: Eukaryota; Fungi; Basidiomycota; Agaricomycetes; Cantharellales; Ceratobasidiaceae.
UGAACUUAAGCAUAUCAAUAGCCGGAGGGAGAAG